This 513-nucleotide ribosomal RNA is filed under the name uncultured bacterium. Its description in RNAcentral is "bacterial SSU rRNA". It matches the Rfam family "Bacterial small subunit ribosomal RNA", at positions 12 to 518 of the family's 1533-position model. The record is from RNAcentral.
UUCGAUUCUGGCUCAGGAUGAACGCUAGCUACAGGCUUAACACAUGCAAGUCGAGGGGCAGCAUUGGAGUAGCAAUACUCAGAUGGCGACCGGCGCACGGGUGAGUAACACGUAUCCAACCUGCCGCUUACUCGGGGAUAGCCUUUACGAAAGAAAGAUUAAUACCCGAUGGUAUAAAGAGUUCGCAUGUUCUCUUUAUUAAAGAAUUUCGGUAGGCGAUGGGGAUGCGUUCCAUUAGAUAGUUGGCGGGUAACGGCCCACCAAGUCUACGAUGGAUAGGGGUUCUGAGAGGAAGGUCCCCCACAUUGGAACUGAGACACGGUCCAAACUCCUACGGGAGGCAGCAGUGAGGAAUAUUGGUCAAUGGACGAGAGUCUGAACCAGCCAAGUAGCGUGAAGGAUGACUGCCCUAUGGGUUGUAAACUUCUUUUAUAAGGGAAUAAAGUGAGGGACGUGUCCCUUUUUGUAUGUACCUUAUGAAUAAGGAUCGGCUAACUCCGUGCCAGCAGCUGC